GAACGCUGGCGGCACGCUUAACACAUGCAAGUCGAACGGAGUUAUCGAGAGCUUGCUUUGAUAACUAGUGGCGGACGGGUGAGUAACACGUGAGCAAUCUGCCCUUAAGAGGGGGAUAGCAGUUGGAAACGACUGAUAAUACCGCAUAAGAUAGUAGUACCGCAUGGUACAGCUAUAAAAGAUUUAUCGCUUAAGGAUGAGCUCGCGUCUGAUUAGCUAGUUGGUGAGGUAACGGCUCACCAAGGCAACGAUCAGUAGCCGGACUGAGAGGUUGGACGGCCACAUUGGGACUGAGACACGGCCCAGACUCCUACGGGAGGCAGCAGUGGGGAAUAUUGCACAAUGGAGGAAACUCUGAUGCAGCGAUGCCGCGUGAGGGAAGAAGGUUUUAGGAUUGUAAACCUCUGUUGACAGGGACGAUAAUGACGGUACCUGUUGAGGAAGCUCCGGCUAACUACGUGCCAGCCGCCGC
RNAcentral lists this ribosomal RNA (472 nucleotides) under uncultured bacterium. RNAcentral describes it as "bacterial SSU rRNA". It matches the Rfam family "Bacterial small subunit ribosomal RNA", at positions 31 to 518 of the family's 1533-position model. The record is from RNAcentral.